GUGAAUGCAAGAUUUGAAAACACAUCUGCUGCUAAAUCAGUUUCCCUGAAAUGCUGGCUGUCAACUUUCUCAGCUACGAUGUGGUUGGAUUUCCAGGCAAACAGUGUCAUGGGAUGUUUGACCAAGGCUCCGUUGGAGGCUGCACUUUAUGGAAUGUUAGUUCUUGAUUGUCUUUUUAGGAUUUCAUACCAUUCUGAUGAUCAAAAUUAAGAUGUGAUUGAUAAAUUGAAACCCAAAAGAAUCUUCCCAAUCGUGCUCUUAAAUUGUGCCAGAAUAAAGCUGUGAAGAUAAUCACAAACUUCAUUAUGGAUACAAGACUUUGCAUUGACUCGUGAACCUCAGGUUUCAGCAAAAGAUGAAGGCAAUCCAAUGCAUCUAAAUUCGGAAAGGAUUUACACUGUGCUGAAAUGAUAUAAUUCAUGAAUGUUAUGGAAUUUCACAGCUAAGGUUAGGGUUAUCCAGAACUAGGCUGCAUCUUUUCACUGCUAUUAAGUGGUCAUCUGGAUUUUUGAAGCUCACUUCUAGUAGCUCUUCACAAGCAAUAAUUAUGUUUUAUGGAUUGUUAUGUAUGCUGAAGCUGCUCAAAAAAAUCUGAGAGGUAUUUGGUUUCUAACUUUCCCCUUCUUAAUACCUUGAUCUAUUUGCGUAUUUCUAAAUAUUUAGGCCCCCUUACAAACUGUACUGAAAAUGUUUAUAUUACCUGUAUGCUGCUUCCAUGUUAUAUAUAUGGAAACAAUUUUUGGUUGAAUUUUAUUAAACUUCUGUUGUGAAUAUGUGCUAUUAAUCUUGCCAUUUCUCCAUAUUCUCCAAGUUUAAGUUUGUAGUCAGAUGUCAUCAGAAUAGGGUCUUUCUUCCAAAAUUUAUUCUUGCUGCUAAGAGCAUGUAUCUUAGUACAUUAUGAUAUUUCUGGUUGAUAUAUUCUGAAAUUAUACAUAGUAAAUAGAUAGUUUAUUAAUUGAUUGGUGAUAUGAUCAUAUCAAAAAUAAAAAUAAAAUACAGGAUCUAAUUUUAGCGUAAAAUAGAAGAAAGAAAAUAUAGUAAUAAAAUAUAUAUGUGGUAAAUGCAAAGAAUCAACCUUCCGAUAAAUACAUCACUUUUACAAUUGUUUGAUGUAACAGGUUCUUAUCUCAACUGCCUUAACUAUAAACUUAGCAGUUCUGCUCAUAAUAUAUACAUUAGAGCCCAGAAGGAAAUAGGACAAUCUGCAGUUCAGAUCCCAGUAAGCUGUUCUUACAGGUAGGGUUAUUAAAUAUCUAAGCCUAAAGGAGGGCAUAUCAUUGACAGUUAAAGAAAAUAUGAGGUAGGCACCACAUAUACAUAUCCUCUCAUGAUAUGGCAGGUGAUAGAAGUGCUCAUAUUUGACUGUGGAAUCCAUCAACACAGAUCUUGCUCCAGAAUAGGCCCUUCUUAAGAACUGUGUCAAACUCAUUGAUGGGUAUUUUCUCAAAUUGGAAAAUAAUUUUGUUCUUAGCCAACCAACUUAAAAAUCUAUUUUUGCCAAUAACUCCAUGUCACUUUGGACACUGACAUCUAGAGAUCUUAAGCUUGGGAGUCACUUGAGAGUAAACACUGAGUAGAAAACCCAUGCUGUGAAAUAACUUUGGUGAGUCAGCUUACUCAGGAAUUGGACUGAGCCAUUCUUAUCUAUUAUGCCAAACCUAUUUUUGGGUAGCUUAUUGGGAUCCAUUGAAUGGAUCCUCUGCCAGGGUUGAAGAAUUAUACAUAGGGAAAAAAAGAGUGAUUCCUUUCAAAUUUAAUUUUUCUGUAUAAUGCUAUGCAUAUAUUUCCACAACAUGGGAUAAAAUGUUCUUCCCAUUUCAUGGCAUUUAUUACGUGAUUUGUCUAUCUUGGAGAUUAUUGAUGGAUUCUGUACCAUCUGUAAAACAUUUUAUACCAAGUUUCUUUUAGAUUGCAGCUUGGAGUGGAGUUUAUGGAUUUGGUCUAUAAUUCUUUCUAUCAUUGUUGCUUUAAGUUUUACAUCCAUUUUAUCAGAUAUUUUUAAAUUUGUUUUGUCUCUGUGUCAUAUCUGAGUUUGUAUAUGCAUUCUAAUAGAUUGUAUUGGUCUUGUGUAAAUUCUGCCAUUUUUCUUAAUGUCCUUCCCUCAUUCUUAGGAUCAUAUAUUAAUCUUUCCAACAAUUUGUAAAUACAUCAAGCAUGAUAUGUUCCAGCCUCCACUGAACAAUUCUUGCUGUGUCUUUAGUCAAUUCAUUGCGUCUGAGUGGUAGACUAGGAUUACAUUUUUCUUACUGUAAUUAUCUCCAAUAUGAAAAGGAUUUGAAGGAUUACAUUAAAAUGCAUUUUGGAUUUUUCCAAAUGUAGUAUUCUAUGGACAUUUAAAGGCUGUUACUAAAGUUGAUAUUGGUAUAUUGCAUGAAUAAAAAAUAACUUGAAAUCUUA
Long non-coding RNA from Pantherophis guttatus, 2397 nucleotides. RefSeq lists it as uncharacterized. The record is from RefSeq and is a predicted model, not a curated record. Lineage: Eukaryota; Metazoa; Chordata; Lepidosauria; Squamata; Colubridae.